RNAcentral lists this ribosomal RNA (449 nucleotides) under uncultured bacterium. Its description in RNAcentral is "bacterial SSU rRNA". It matches the Rfam family "Bacterial small subunit ribosomal RNA", at positions 29 to 506 of the family's 1533-position model. The record is from RNAcentral.
AUGAACGCUAGCGGCGCGCCUUAUGCAUGCAAGUCGUACGGUCCCGCAAGGGACAGUGGCGAACGGGUGAGUAAUAGUUAGGUAACCUGCCUUUAAGUGGGGGAUAACACUUCGAAAGAAGUGCUAAUACCGCAUGUGGUGCUCUUUCAUAAGAAGGAUCACUAAAACCGCAAGGUGCUUGAAGAGGGGCCUGACUCCGAUUAGCUAGUUGGUGGGGUAACGGCCUACCAAGGCUAUGAUCGGUAGCUGGUCUGAGAGGAUGGUCAGCCACACUGGGACUGAGACACGGCCCAGACUCCUACGGGAGGCAGCAGCAAGGAAUCUUGGGCAAUGGGCGAAAGCCUGACCCAGCGACGCCGCGUGAGGGAUGAAGGCCUUCGGGUUGUAAACCUCUUUUCUCAGGGAAGAAUAAUGACGGUACCUGAGGAAUAAGUCUCGGCUAACUACGU